GAUUAACGCUAGCGGCAGGCAUAAUACAUGCAAGUUGAACGGCAGCACAGGUAGCAAUACUGGGUGGCGAGUGGCGCACGGGUGCGUAACACGUAUGCAACCUACCCUAUACAGGCGAAUAACCUUUAGAAAUGAGGGCUAAUACGCCGUAGUAUUACAGAUGGGCAUCUAUUUGUAAUUAAAGAUUUAUCGGUAUAGGAUGGGCAUGCGUCCCAUUAGUUAGUUGGUAAGGUAACGGCUUACCAAGACGAUGAUGGGUAGGGGAUCUGAGAGGACUUACCCCCACACUGGUACUGAGACACGGACCAGACGCCUACGGGAGGCAGCAGUAAGGAAUAUUGGGCAAUGGCCGCGAGGCUGACCCAGCCAUGCCGCGUGCAGGAAGACGGCCUUAUGGGUUGUAAACUACUUUUAUACGGGAAUAAUAGAGUGUACGCGUACAUUUAUGCAAGUAUCGUAUGAAUAAGCAUCGGCUAACUCCGUG
RNAcentral lists this ribosomal RNA (484 nucleotides) under uncultured bacterium. RNAcentral's name for it is "partial 16S ribosomal RNA". It matches the Rfam family "Bacterial small subunit ribosomal RNA", at positions 28 to 507 of the family's 1533-position model. The record is from RNAcentral.